Molecule: long non-coding RNA, 350 nt
Filed under: Homo sapiens (human)
Lineage: Eukaryota; Metazoa; Chordata; Mammalia; Primates; Hominidae
Description: non-protein coding lnc-PGAM1-1:2
Source: RNAcentral
UCAACAUCUGAACCAAAAAGCUGCAUUUACUACAGUACUUACUUAAGGGAGGUGGAGCUGGGCCUGUUAGGUGCAAUCCCUACACCAGCUGAGCCGGGAGAUCUGAACAUCAGGCAAUGAGUUUGCAAGAUGGUUUAACAACUAUGAACAUGUGGUGUCCUCACAGGAAUCCUGUGGGCUGAACAGCAGCCGCCCCUCCUUCCACCCAGCACAAAACUUGGUUUGCCCCGCUCACUCUAAAUCUGGGCCUUCAAUGAAUGUUCAGUGGAGUUCUUCUGUGGAAAAAAAUAAAUGGGAAAGGAAGGCUGGAGAGGCCUUUAUUAGCCUAAGGGGCAGUGGAGGGUAAAAGG